Molecule: long non-coding RNA, 1847 nt
Organism: Camelus dromedarius (Arabian camel)
Lineage: Eukaryota; Metazoa; Chordata; Mammalia; Artiodactyla; Camelidae
Source: Ensembl
GCAGAAAGGAAAAAGAAUUCCCACCUAUUGAGUGCCAUUAGCUGCACUGUGUCUAGCAUAGUGAAAUACGUGUUUCUCUCAGUUAACUUUCAUAACUCUUUCCAGUAAAUAUUGUCUCCAUUUUAUAGUUGGGGAAACUGAGACUCAGAGCAGUUUAAUAAUUUGUGCAGUCACACAGCUGUUAAGUGGUAAAGCUGGAAUUCGAACUAGAUUUGUCAGACACUAAAACCCAUGUACUUUUCACAGUGUCACUUGGCCUCCCAAAUUUCCUGUGGCACUUAGCUCAUCUAUAUGAAAAUUGAUACACCACCAGACAACAGAUUCCUUCAGGGGCUUUAAGAUUGACAUUCUUAGACUCUUUAUACUUGGCACACUACUGCUAGGCACACUAAAUGUUUUUCUCAGAAAGAGACCAUGGAUAAUCCUACCAUUUUAUUUGUUGGGGGAAGUGGUAAUUAGAUUUAUUUCUUUAUUUUUAGAGGAGGUACUGGAGAUUGAACCCAGGACCUUCUGCAUGCUGAGCAUGCGCUCUACCACUUGAGCUAUCCCCUCCCCUCCUGCCAUUUUAUUUAUCUAGGAAGGUUGUGGACCUGAGGCCGGCCUGUGGGGAUUUACUGAUCAGAUCUGCGAUCUAGUCAAGUCCUCUUUUUCCAUCAAUGACACUCAGAUAAACCUGCAUCCAGGGUUUAUCCUGCAUAUCCAAGGGCAAUGAAGACAGCCCUGAAAUACUUUUCCAGAGAACUUUGUCAAGUUUUACCCCCCACUCCUAACCAACCAGUCACUAUUACCAGCAAGACUACAGACCAGGCUCGCUACAGAUGCCUUCUCACCAGGUUUUUUUUUUUUAGGGGAACAGUAAUUGCUACCUGGAAGUGGGAUUCAGCUGUAACAAAAUCCUAAACCCUAAAAUGCAGAAGUAACUUUGGAACUGGACAGUGGAUUUGGGGGAGAGUGUUAGUGAAAGCCUAAACUUGAAGAAACCGUUAAUAGAAACAUCGUGAUCUUUGAUAUGGCUGCAGGUAAGGGCUUGCAAAAAAAUAAGGUAAUGUUAUUGGAAAUUGGAGGAAAGGGGACUCUUGUUAUAUAAUGGCAGAAAGUUCAGUAACACUGUUGCCUGCAGUAAUUGAAAAGCAGAAACUAUGUCUAAUGAACUGGGUAAUCUAGCUAGGGAGAUUUCCAAGCAACGGUUACUUCUUGUUGCUUAUAGUAAAAUGUAAGAGGAGAGAGGCAAACUGGGGGAAGAACUGUUAAACAAACGAAGACAUAAUUUGCUGGUUUUGAAGAUUCUCAGACUCUCUAAAUGGCAAACAAUGCUAAAAUUAAGAUGUAGCUUCUGAGCUACAAAUCCAUGGCACUGCUAGUAAAACAUGGUCCUAAGAUGAAGCCAAGGGUAUGACUAUAAAAUCUUUUGUUAAAAUCUUAGAAAGAUUUAAGGUUGUGCAUCAGAAUACUAUUAAGUCAGACAAAAGGCCCUCGAAGGAUAUUAAAGGUAUGUUUCACAUACUCUCUCAAUAAAAUGAUAAAGCACCUAGGAAGCUUAAGGACACUGUCCCUCAGUCAUCUCAUCAGAAGUCUAAAGUAGCAAAUAGCUUAUCUGAAAGAUAUUUGAAGGUGUGGCUUUCAUCUAAUGGAGUGGACCCCAAUAAUAUUUACAGAUGACUCAUAACAUUUUUUAAGUAUGUAUGCAGAAACAUUGCCACCUUGAACCAAAAGGGAUAGAGAGAGUGCAAAAUGAAAAGAGGCCUUGGGACCCUCAAAGUUCCACAGACAAGAAGUAGGCUGAGAGAACUUCUCAGCUGUAAACAUGGGCUAUCUUUCAUUAAAAAAAAGGAGGAAGAUUUAGAGGU